UUGGUGGGCGUGGCUUGUUUGUGUUGCUGUGAAUAUGUCGAUGGCCAGUGUUUUUCAUUAGAGCAAGGAUCCACUCUGGAUUCGAUAAUGGGAGGUUAAUGGGAGCUAAUGACAGCUAAUGACGGAGUAGAAAUAGUUUGAAAUAGUUUCAGCACGGACGACCUGUUGCGAAGAAAGAGGCGCUGUCGGUAAGUCAUCGCCCUUUCCAGGAGAGAGUGUUUAUUUACGCUAUCAGCUAUGACGUGAUUUGCUCCAGUGAAUAAAAUACGUUACCAUCAUGUAUAUGGAUUCAGGUGGAUGGGUUAGUAGUGUAGUAGUGCUUCUAUAGUGCUCGGUCGGCUGUAUUAGUUACGUGCGUCCUUUGUUUUCUGUUCUUGUACCGUAUGAUAUUUCUAUAAUGUUACAAUUUUCACGCUUUAUUUUUUUUAAUUGCAUAAUUUGUUUUGAAACUGUUCAAACGUAUUUUAUGAAGGCGAGUUAGAAAUGCGCAUGGCCAUGAUUUGAUCAGCCUAUUGCGACGUAGUGCGCAGUUUCCAGCGUUGUUUCCAACGUUACCCGGAAACAAGCAAGGCAUUUGCUCUCAGCUGCUUCCUUAUAAAAACAUGUCUGGGGGAUUUGUGCCUCAUUUUUCUUCGGAGCCCGAGCAGCAGGGUGGGAUGGAGAGGUGUGCUGGAUGCUUGCUGCAGGAGGAUGUUGCGCACUUCAGUUUACCUCAGGAGAGGACUGGCACAUCCAUCGGCUGUGCUUUGGCCUGACAUCAAAACAUCAAACCCGCUGCAGUCGGUUGACCGAUUGAUUUGCUGACUGCUUCAGUGGCACAAGAUAAAGCAGGUAUUACGUUCAACUUCUUGUGAAAGUGAAUGAUGCUGCAACACGUGCUGACAUCCCCAGAGAGAGCCUGUUUGCAUUCUUCUGAGUGGUAACUGCAGAACCACUGAACCAGCUUCAUCAGUCUGAUUUUUAUAUAAAUGAAGAAUCAUCUGAUCAAGAUUCAAGGGAGUUUUACGCCACAGAAGGAUGCCUUUUGUCAAGAGUACCCUCCUUGGAAGCUGGUUUCAGAUGGUGGCUUAGAGUAUUGUCAUCGAUCUAGCACCAUUUGAAAUCAGUGUUCUUGGGGUGGGAAGUGUAUUUCCCCUGCCAGCAACACGCAGCUGUGACGUGUCACGAGAGGUGUCCGGAGAUAAAGGUAUUACUCCCUGAAGAACUACUCAGUGGGCUACAAACCACCGGUCUCUGGUGAUGUUCUGACCGCUCAAGCUCUUUGUCCUCUCUCCAAGGUUGAUCGAUUUCUUUUGGUGUUCAGAGUCUGCUUUUGUUUCUAGCACCAUUUGAAAUCGGUUACAGUGAAGGACAGAUUAUCUUUAUUUUAGGGACUGUGGAUUGACUGCAGUGAAAUUACAAAUGACUGUUUAAUUAAUUACAAAUGAACCGAAAUACUUUUAUACUGGCUCUCUGAUUGAUAUCUAGAUUGGUGUUUGCAGUGGAGGUAGUAUUCAGAUCCUUGACUUAAGCACACAAUUACAAAUACAUUGUGAGUAAAAGUCACGUUUAUUUAUUUAAGUAAAUGUACAUACGUAUUAUCAGCUAAAUGUGUUUUGUAUGUAAAACUUAAUUUGCAAAGUAACAAAACGGUCAUAAAUGUAGUCGUGUAAAAAGUACUCUCCCUUUAAAAUAUAGCUAUAAGUGUAAAGAAGCAUUACAAUUACAAGUACCUUAUAAUUGUACUUAAUGUAAAUAGUUGUACUUGUGACAUUUAACCACUGAACGUGUCUUUCAACUUGAUCAAGAGAUAAUUUAAACUACUUUCUAGUCAAAUCCACAAGGGGGCACUAUAAUAUAAAAUAUUAGGGGAUUUUUUUUCUCUGUACCCACAGUUGGUCAAUUAUGUUUAGAAUCGCUAUAGACAUUUUAAUUAUUUCUUAUAACUCUUAAAAUAUUUAGGAUGUCUCAGACCCCAGGCAGGUCACUAGUCAAACUUUUAAAAUUACAUAUUUUAUGUCAUACUAUAUUACGUUAUUUGAAUACUGUUCUCUAGUAUUAUGUUGUAAAUAAAUGCUUAUUUUCCACUUGAA
Molecule: long non-coding RNA, 2072 nt
Organism: Sander lucioperca (pikeperch)
Lineage: Eukaryota; Metazoa; Chordata; Actinopteri; Perciformes; Percidae
Exons: 6
Source: RefSeq, a predicted model, not a curated record